Molecule: transfer RNA, 63 nt
Filed under: Rattus norvegicus (Norway rat)
Lineage: Eukaryota; Metazoa; Chordata; Mammalia; Rodentia; Muridae
Rfam family: tRNA
About the family: Transfer RNA (tRNA) molecules are approximately 80 nucleotides in length. Their secondary structure includes four short double-helical elements and three loops (D, anti-codon, and T loops).
Source: Rfam by way of RNAcentral
GGGGAUUUAGCUCAGCGGUAGAGCGCUUGCCUAGCACUUGCAAGGCCCUGGGUUCAGUCCCCA